GUAGCUAUAGCUCAGAGGGCAAAGCAUUUGCCUAGAAUGCAUAAAGCCCUGGGUUUAAUUCCUAGCACUACA
This 72-nucleotide transfer RNA is filed under the name Mesocricetus auratus (golden hamster). It matches the Rfam family "tRNA". Rfam says of the family: Transfer RNA (tRNA) molecules are approximately 80 nucleotides in length. Their secondary structure includes four short double-helical elements and three loops (D, anti-codon, and T loops). The record is from Rfam by way of RNAcentral. Lineage: Eukaryota; Metazoa; Chordata; Mammalia; Rodentia; Cricetidae.